UACAGAGGGUGCAAACGUUGCUCGGAAUCAUUGGGCGUAAAGCGCACGUAGGCGGCCUAGCAAGUAGGGAGUGAAAGCCCUCGGCUUAACCGAGGAAGUGCUUUCUAAACUACUAGGCUUGAAUACUGGAGAGGGUCGCGGAAUUCCCGGUGUAGAGGUGAAAUUCGUAGAUAUCUGGAGGAACACCGGUGGCGAAGGCGGCAUCCUGGACCAUUACUGACACUGAAAAGCGAAAGCCAGGGGAGCAAACGGG
This 253-nucleotide ribosomal RNA is filed under the name uncultured bacterium. RNAcentral's name for it is "partial 16S ribosomal RNA". It matches the Rfam family "Bacterial small subunit ribosomal RNA", at positions 524 to 776 of the family's 1533-position model. The record is from RNAcentral.